AACAUUAAUGAUCAUCUCAUGUCUCAAGUUAUUAUGCUGCAACUAGGAUUUGUAGUUAAUGAAAAAAUGUUCUGAACAGAUAUUAUUAUGGUGCAGAAUCUUGAAGCUGUCUAUUCUUUGGUGCAUUAAAGCAAUUAUUGACUUAAGUCAAAGUUGAGUGGACCAAAACCAAUUAAAACUCACUGACAAUUGUAAGCAUGGCUUUACUUGGAUCUGUAUUGUAUGAGUUAUUAGCAGAAAAUACACAUCGAAAAACUUCGCUCUUUUCACAUGCAACCAUAAACUGAUAAAGAAUAUUCUAAUACGUACCAUAGUUUACAUUUCGCGAACUAAAGUACGGAGAUCGCUGCCGUGCGGUUGUAUUAUUAACGUAGCGACGUAUAAAUUUACCUUUGUUAGAAUGUUAGUGUAAUAAUUCACCAAAAUGCGUUUUCCUCAACAAAAAUGCGAUUGUAACAAUGUUUUGAAAAUAACAAAUCAGCUUAUUUACCAA
Long non-coding RNA from Xenia sp. Carnegie-2017, 493 nucleotides. RefSeq lists it as uncharacterized. The transcript is spliced from 3 exons. The record is from RefSeq and is a predicted model, not a curated record. Lineage: Eukaryota; Metazoa; Cnidaria; Anthozoa; Malacalcyonacea; Xeniidae.